GUCGGUCUAUUGGCGGCUGAGAGUUUAUUAAAGCAAAGAGAGAGUGAGAGCGCUUUCCACUGGAUCUAUAAAAAUUGCAAUAGCAAACGGAAACAUGUGCAAAUGUAUCCCCCAAAUAUUGAAUGUUGCUUUUAUACCCGGUACUCGAAGUGUAAAUACCUGUCGGACCUGUCCCCGCAGCGGUUUUCGGCGGCGGGCGAACUCAGUCUCCUCCCGCGUCUUCUCAUUACCUCGUUUCCCAGGCGUCGAUUGAGAGGGAUUGGCUUGUCCCUAUGGCACUUUAAGAGGAGUACCGAGCUCCUUUGCCGUUAUAUUUUGUAUAUUUAAGUUACUUGACAUUUUUGGUCCCACGAGUAGGCGG
This 361-nucleotide long non-coding RNA is filed under the name Drosophila guanche. Lineage: Eukaryota; Metazoa; Arthropoda; Insecta; Diptera; Drosophilidae. The record is from RNAcentral.